AUACGGAGGAUCCGAGCGUUAUCCGGAUUUAUUGGGUUUAAAGGGUGCGCAGGCGGCCAUUCAAGUCAGCGGUUAAAUCGUGGGGCUCAACCCCAUUCUGCCGUUGAUACUGGGUGGCUUGAUUGCGGUCGAGGUUGGCGGAAUUCGUUGUGUAGCGGUGAAAUGCAUAGAUAUGACGAAGAACACCGAUUGCGUAGGCAGCUGACCAGACCGCAAAUGACGCUCAUGCACGAAAGUGCGGGGAUCGAACAGGAUUAGAUACCCUGGUAGUCCGCACAGUAAACGAUGAAUACUUGUUUUCGGCGAUAUAAUGUCGGAGGCAAAGCGAAAGCGAUAAGUAUUCCACCUGGGGAGUACGCCGGCAACGGUGAAACUCAAAUGAAUUGACGGGG
This 392-nucleotide ribosomal RNA is filed under the name uncultured bacterium. Its description in RNAcentral is "partial 16S ribosomal RNA". It matches the Rfam family "Bacterial small subunit ribosomal RNA", at positions 523 to 918 of the family's 1533-position model. The record is from RNAcentral.